GCCUCGUUAGCGCAGUAGGCAGCGCGUCAGUCUCAUAAUCGAAUUUAGAAAUCUGAAGGUCGUGAGUUCGAUCCUCACACGAGGCA
Molecule: transfer RNA, 86 nt
Filed under: Nematostella vectensis (starlet sea anemone)
Lineage: Eukaryota; Metazoa; Cnidaria; Anthozoa; Actiniaria; Edwardsiidae
Rfam family: tRNA
About the family: Transfer RNA (tRNA) molecules are approximately 80 nucleotides in length. Their secondary structure includes four short double-helical elements and three loops (D, anti-codon, and T loops).
Source: Rfam by way of RNAcentral